GCUUGGCUGACUCAGUUGGUAAAGCAUGCGACUCUUGAUCUCAGGGUCAUGAGUUCAAGCCCCAUGUCGGGCA
Molecule: transfer RNA, 73 nt
Filed under: Ailuropoda melanoleuca (giant panda)
Lineage: Eukaryota; Metazoa; Chordata; Mammalia; Carnivora; Ursidae
Rfam family: tRNA
About the family: Transfer RNA (tRNA) molecules are approximately 80 nucleotides in length. Their secondary structure includes four short double-helical elements and three loops (D, anti-codon, and T loops). Further hydrogen bonds mediate the characteristic L-shaped molecular structure. tRNAs have two regions of fundamental functional importance: the anti-codon, which is responsible for specific mRNA codon recognition, and the 3' end, to which the tRNAs corresponding amino acid is attached (by aminoacyl-tRNA synthetases). tRNAs cope with the degeneracy of the genetic code in two manners: having more than one tRNA (with a specific anti-codon) for a particular amino acid; and 'wobble' base-pairing, i.e. permitting non-standard base-pairing at the 3rd anti-codon position.
Source: Rfam by way of RNAcentral